Molecule: long non-coding RNA, 387 nt
Organism: Clupea harengus (Atlantic herring)
Lineage: Eukaryota; Metazoa; Chordata; Actinopteri; Clupeiformes; Clupeidae
Source: Ensembl
CCCAACUCAAAUGUCGCUUGAGCUGCAUGCCAGUGAUGUGAACUGAAGCAAGUACAAGAGCUGUGCCUUUCGACUUCAAAAGCUAAAGAUGGAGCAAUUGGACAAGACAACACAGUCGCUUCUGGAAGCUGCACAGGCCAUUGCCUUGUUGGAGGCGCUCCCAAAAAUGUUCCCUUACCCAACCGCCCCUCCAAGAAAAGUCGGCAAGUGAGGCACUGUACCAUGUUCUUGAGCCAUCUGAGGACGCCAAUGUCUUCUUGCGUAACUGAUGACCUUGCCAAGGGACAUGCUUCUGGAAUCCCUCAUGAUACUGAUGGGAUGCUACUAUGUGUUCCAGUUAACAUAUUCCAAGUGUAUUGCUAGGCUAUUGUCCAUAAUACAAACAGA